This 660-nucleotide ribosomal RNA is filed under the name uncultured Methanosaeta sp. RNAcentral's name for it is "bacterial SSU rRNA". It matches the Rfam family "Archaeal small subunit ribosomal RNA", at positions 86 to 745 of the family's 1478-position model. The record is from RNAcentral. Lineage: Archaea; Methanobacteriati; Methanobacteriota; Methanomicrobia; Methanotrichales; Methanotrichaceae.
UUGCUCAGUAACACGUGGACAACCUGCCCUGAGGACUGGAAUAAUCCCGGGAAACUGGGGGUAAUUCCAGAUAUGUCAGAACUCCUGGAAUGGGUUCUGGCAGAAAGGCUCCGGCGCCUCAGGAUGGGUCUGCGGCCUAUCAGGGUAGUAGUGGGUGUAACGUACCUACUAGCCUACGACGGGUACGGGUUGUGAGAGCAAGAGCCCGGAGAUGGAUUCUGAGACAUGAAUCCAGGCCCUACGGGGUGCAGCAGGCGCGAAAACUUUACAAUGCGGGCAACCGCGAUAAGGGGACCUCGAGUGCUGGGUUACAAACCUGGCUGUUGGGCUGCCUAAAAAGCAGUCUAUAGCAAGGGCCGGGCAAGACCGGUGCCAGCCGCCGCGGUAACACCGGCGGCUCGAGUGGUAACCGCUGUUAUUGGGUCUAAAGGGUCUGUAGCCUGCCGGCUAAGUCUCUUGGGAAAUCUGGCAUCUCAAGUGUCAGGCUGCCAGGGGAUACUGGUCAGCUUGGGACCGGGAGAGGUGAGAGGUACCUCAGGGGUAGGGGUGAAAUCUUGUAAUCCUUGAGGGACCACCAGUGGCGAAGGCGUCUCACCAGAACGGAUCCGACGGCAAGGGACGAAAGCUAGGGGCACGAACCGGAUUAGAUACCCGGGUAGU